CGGGUUGUAAAGCACUUUGAUCUGGGAAGAAAAAGCUUUGGCUAAUAUCCAAAGCCUUGACGGUACCAGAGGAACAAGCACCGGCUAACUCUGUGCCAGCAGCCGCGGUAAUACAGAGGGUGCUAGCGUUAAUCGGAUUUACUGGGCGUAAAGCGUGUGUAGGCGGUUCGUUAAGUCGGAUGUGAAAGCCCUGGGCUCAACCUGGGAAUUGCACUCGAUACUGGCGGGCUAGAGUACGGUAGAGGGCGGCGGAAUUCCGGGUGUAGCGGUGAAAUGCGUAGAUAUCCGGAGGAACACCGAUGGCGAAGGCAACCGCCUGGGCCUGUACUGACGCUGAGACACGAAAGCGUGGGGAGCAAACAGGAUUAGAUACCCUGGUAGUCCACGCCGUAAACGAUGAGAACUUGACGUCGGUUUGCUCUGCGAAUCGGUGUCGAAGCUAACGCGCUAAGUUCUCCGCCUGGGGAGUACGGCCGCAAGGUUGAAACACAAAA
RNAcentral lists this ribosomal RNA (494 nucleotides) under Panacagrimonas sp. RNAcentral describes it as "bacterial SSU rRNA". It matches the Rfam family "Bacterial small subunit ribosomal RNA", at positions 419 to 906 of the family's 1533-position model. Lineage: Bacteria; Pseudomonadati; Pseudomonadota; Gammaproteobacteria; Nevskiales; Nevskiaceae. The record is from RNAcentral.